Molecule: long non-coding RNA, 2268 nt
Organism: Equus caballus (horse)
Lineage: Eukaryota; Metazoa; Chordata; Mammalia; Perissodactyla; Equidae
Source: Ensembl
GGACUCUGGCUGGAAUUAUCAAGUAAGAGUUGCACUUGUCUUUAGGAGCUUAGAUAUCAAGAAACUUAAACCCUGAGUUGUCAGUGGCCCUGUUGGUGGAGAGGAUCUGCCUUCAAUGUACAGCAAUCCAGAGGAAAGCUGAGUCACCAGAUGGUGAGAAAGUCCUUUUGAGAUCUAGCCAUGCCAGGAACAACUGACCUUAGCCUUGCCUUUUAAAUGAGUCAAUAAGACCCCCUUUUGUUGUUGUUGUGUUGUUGUUGUUUAAGCUCAAUGAGUUGGAAUCCAAAUUAAUAUACAGAACUGCCUGAAGGAUCCUUUGGAGGGUGGGGUAUGACCUCCUGCAGACUUGCCUGGGCCCUUGGAACUGAGUGAUUCUUGACCAUGAUUAAGAGUGGGACUGCUGAACUGAUGAGAUGACCUGUGUAUGUGGCCGGGGCUUGUUAACUUUGAGCUCUACUUCAGGGCAUCCAGACUCUGAAACCCAUUAAGGAAGAAACUGCAUCUGUCUUGCUCACCAUUGUUCACCUAGCAUAGCACCUGUCACAAGUCAGCUGUAUUACAGAUAACUGGUGACAGUGUUCUGGAGGGAAGACCGCACUGCUCCAUUUGAACACCUCGUCGACUCACUCACUGGUUUGAAAUAUGUCAACACUCAGAGAAUGAAAACAAGAGAUAUGAAAAUAAGUUCACCAGCUGCAGCCCUUCUGAAGCUUACUUCUGCAAGCAAACUCCAAGGACAUUUUUCCAGUAACCACUCCUGGAGGGAUGUUCCCAACUCCUGCGCCAGAAUCCAUCGAAGAAGCGUUUGUCUCCAGCAAUAUUAAUGCGCCCCAUUUCCCGACUCUCUCACAUUUGAUUCAGUUCACCAAAUGUGUGAUGAAGACAGACAUGUGAAGAAUAGCUAUGGGACUGCUAAAAGGAGUAAAAAGUAUGACAAUCCAAGAGACAAACCCAAGUAGAAAGAAAUAAAUUACAACUAAAGGUGCAAACAAUAGACUGAAAUGGAACAGAACAAGGACUUCUAAUUGGGGGAGUUAAACAAGACUUCAUAUGUUGUGGACAUUUGUACCUCCAGGCUUUGAUUAGCACCCAUGUAGGCACAAACGAACAAACAUGCAGAAAUUCAGAGCUAAUGGACUGCAUCCACACUGAGUUAAAUCAGGCUAAAGAUUAAUGAAAAAUUCAGUCAUCCUGAGUCCUUUACUUGCUUACCAUCAACCAUCCAGAUGUUUGAUAUUUAAUCAAAGCAAUUGGAUAGUGGACGGAAUUUUACUUUUCAUUCAGUUAUUUGGAAUAGUCAAUAAUAUGCAGUUUGCCAAAUCUUGGGAGAAAAUUCUUUUGCCCUCCAAAUUUAUUUCCAAGUGGCAGGAGAGAAUUUGGAAGUAAUCAAGAGGUUGUUUGGGGAAAGUAAAGUAUAAGAUGGCCAAAUCUUCUUCGUUUCACAGAGAGUUACCUUGGGUAAAUUCGUUUAUGACAAGAUACUUUCACUACUUGAUAAGAUUCUUAUUUUUUCUUACUUUGCCGGAGGACCUCAUUGUUCUUGAACUUUUGAGAAAAGACAGUGUGUUAGCUUAAGAAGCAGAUUCUAAGAUGGGAUCAAAUGAACAAGGAUUUAAUUAGGGGAAACACCUGUGAGAGAAAAUGGGCAAGGAACUGGUAAGGUUGGGAGCACCAUCAGAUGGCAAAACCAUCUGCCCAAGCAAAGGGAGGGGGAAGGAAGGUUGGCUGAAAGCAUAUUAGACUGCUGUGCUGUCUAGGGAGGUUCAGCAAAGCCAAUGAGGAGGCCUGGGGCCAAAUUGGCUGUUGGAGGAGUGCCAUGUCUCCCAGGAAUGAGACUGCCUUAGUAUCCCCGUCACACCCAGAUUGUGGGGGCAGCUUGCGGGAAGUGAGGUCUGGGUGCAAAUGUGAUAGCGGACUUCAGACUGCAGCCUCUGGGUUAAUCACACUCCCUGGAGUUGGAAGUCUUUGGUGCAGUCUCAUGGCAGGGAGAAAUGGUAAUUUCAUUAGGAUAUAGAUUAGCUGUAAUAAGAGACCCCAGAAUACAGUGGCUUACGCAAGAUAGAAUUUUAUUUCUCUCUCAAAUUGGGAUUUCAGGCUGGAUAUUGGGGAGCCAGGCUCCUUCUAGCCUGUUGCUCUAUCAUCCUAGCACCUUACCCUUAUUCACAUAAUGGGCGGAGCACAAGAUGGCUCCCGGUGUCUGCAUUGCAGCCAACUGGAUAGAGGAGAGCAAGGAAGGGUGGCAAGCACCUUUCCCUUGAAGGACAUGAG